This 255-nucleotide ribosomal RNA is filed under the name uncultured bacterium. RNAcentral's name for it is "partial 16S ribosomal RNA". It matches the Rfam family "Bacterial small subunit ribosomal RNA", at positions 524 to 777 of the family's 1533-position model. The record is from RNAcentral.
UACAGAGGUGGCAAGCGUUGUUCGGAAUUACUGGGCGUAAAGGGCGCGUAGGCGGCCUUCUAAGUCAGACGUGAAAUCCCCCGGCUUAACCUGGGAACUGCGUCUGAUACUGGGAGGCUUGAGUAUGGGAGAGGGAUGUAGAAUUCCAGGUGUAGCGGUGAAAUGCGUAGAUAUCUGGAGGAAUACCGGUGGCGAAGGCGGCAUCCUGGACCAUAACUGACGCUGGGGCGCGAAAGCUAAGGGGAGCAAAGCGGG